GGAGACUCAGUGGUAGAGUGCUUGCCUUGCAUGCAUGAGGCCCUGGGUUCGAUUCCUCAGCACCA
This 65-nucleotide transfer RNA is filed under the name Dipodomys ordii (Ord's kangaroo rat). It matches the Rfam family "tRNA". From Rfam's summary of the family: Transfer RNA (tRNA) molecules are approximately 80 nucleotides in length. Their secondary structure includes four short double-helical elements and three loops (D, anti-codon, and T loops). Further hydrogen bonds mediate the characteristic L-shaped molecular structure. tRNAs have two regions of fundamental functional importance: the anti-codon, which is responsible for specific mRNA codon recognition, and the 3' end, to which the tRNAs corresponding amino acid is attached (by aminoacyl-tRNA synthetases). tRNAs cope with the degeneracy of the genetic code in two manners: having more than one tRNA (with a specific anti-codon) for a particular amino acid; and 'wobble' base-pairing, i.e. permitting non-standard base-pairing at the 3rd anti-codon position. The record is from Rfam by way of RNAcentral. Lineage: Eukaryota; Metazoa; Chordata; Mammalia; Rodentia; Heteromyidae.